Molecule: ribosomal RNA, 497 nt
Filed under: uncultured bacterium
Lineage: Bacteria
Description: partial 16S ribosomal RNA
Rfam family: Bacterial small subunit ribosomal RNA
Source: RNAcentral
GAUGAACGCUGGCGGCGUGCCUAAUACAUGCAAGUCGAGCGAACAGACGAGGAGCUUGCUCCUCUGACGUUAGCGGCGGACGGGUGAGUAACACGUGGAUAACCUACCUAUAAGACUGGGAUAACUUCGGGAAACCGGAGCUAAUACCGGAUAAUAUAUUGAACCGCAUGGUUCAAUAGUGAAAGACGGUUUUGCUGUCACUUAUAGAUGGAUCCGCGCCGCAUUAGCUAGUUGGUAAGGUAACGGCUUACCAAGGCAACGAUGCGUAGCCGACCUGAGAGGGUGAUCGGCCACACUGGAACUGAGACACGGUCCAGACUCCUACGGGAGGCAGCAGUAGGGAAUCUUCCGCAAGGGGCGAAAGCUUGACGGAGCAACGCCGCGUGAGUGAUGAAGGUCUUCGGAUCGUAAAACACUGUUAUUAGGGAAGAACAAAUGUGUAAGUAACUAUGCACGUCUUGACGGUACCUAAUCAGAAAGCCACGGCUAACUACGUG